Onychomys torridus (southern grasshopper mouse) is the source of this 110-nucleotide small nucleolar RNA. RefSeq annotates it as U8 small nucleolar RNA. The record is from RefSeq and is a predicted model, not a curated record. The transcript has a single exon. Lineage: Eukaryota; Metazoa; Chordata; Mammalia; Rodentia; Cricetidae.
UCCUCAGCUAGGCAAAUCCUUACCUGUCUCUCUUUUUGGAGGGCAGAUAGAAAAUGAUUGGAGGUUUUGUGUAACCAGAACCCACAGCAUCUUGACUGUUCCUACCUGUG